AGAACGAACGCUGGCGGCAGGCUUAACACAUGCAAGUCGAACGCUCGUAGCAAUACGGGAGUGGCAGACGGGUGAGUAACGCGUGGGAACAUACCCUCCGGUUCGGAAUAGCUCAGGGAAACUUGGAUUAAUACCGGAUACGGCCGAGAGGCGAAAGAUUUAUCUCCGGAGGAUUGGCCCGCGUUCGAUUAGCUAGUUGGUGAGGUAACGGCUCACCAAGGCGAUGAUCGAUAGCUGGUCUGAGAGGAUGAUCAGCCACAUUGGGACUGAGACACGGCCCAAACUCCUACGGGAGGCAGCAGUGGGGAAUAUUGGACAAUGGGCGCAAGCCUGAUCCAGCCAUGCCGCGUGAGUGAUGACGGCCUUAGGGUUGUAAAGCUCUUUCGCUCGGGACGAUAAUGACGGUACCGAGAUAAGAAGCCCCGGCUAACUUCGCGCCAGCAGCCGC
RNAcentral lists this ribosomal RNA (448 nucleotides) under uncultured bacterium. RNAcentral describes it as "SSU rRNA". It matches the Rfam family "Bacterial small subunit ribosomal RNA", at positions 26 to 518 of the family's 1533-position model. The record is from RNAcentral.